AGGGAGCUUCAAAGAGCCUGUCCACCCAGAGAGGAGAGGACAUUUCAGCCUGGUUGUGAUGCAUAACAGGGCUCUGCAGGCUGAACACAACUCCUCCGAUGGGAUAAAAUCUCCUGGCCAAAUUUAACCGCCUCCCCGCGUGCAGCAGCGCUUAACUGAGAAAUGCUCGUGUAGCGACCGCGAAUGACAUUACUGUUUGCCUUUUUUUCCCUCUCAAGAAGUCUUUGUCGGUGCCGUAACUUGCACGGGGCGGGUUGAGCAAGUUUCAUUGUCUUGAUAUUAUACCGCAACAGAGUCGUUUACGCGGAGCCGAAGCCUAGGACGAGAUGGGGAGCGAAAAGUACUUGCCGGAGCUUAUGGCAGAGAAGGACACGCUGGAUCCGUCUUUUCAGCACUCCUUGCGGUUACUGGAUCAAGAAAUCGAAAAAAUCCAGAAAGAUGAGGGGAAGGAAGAAGAAAAAUUCAUCGACGUCGUCAUCAACAAGAACAUGAAACUGGGCCAGAAAGUUUUAAUACCAGUCAAGCAGUUUCCUAAAUUUAACUUUGUCGGCAAACUCCUCGGGCCACGUGGGAACUCGUUAAAGAGACUACAGGAGGACACUCUCACAAAGAUGUCAAUUCUCGGGAAGGGAUCCAUGAGAGACAAAGAAAAGGAAGAAGAGCUUCGGAAGAGCGGCGAAGCCAAAUAUCACCACCUGAACGAAGACCUCCAUGUGCUCAUCGAGGUGUUCGCUCCGCCGGCUGAGGCCUACGCCAGGAUGGGUCACGCUCUGGAGGAGAUCAAGAAGUUUCUCAUCCCGGAUUACAAUGAUGAGAUCAGACAGGCCCAGCUGCAGGAGCUCACGUACCUGAAUGGUGGCUCGGAGGAUGCCAAGGUGCCAUCGGUGAGGGGCAAGUCAGCCGCCCGUGGAAGAGGGACACCUGUUCCAGGGCCUCCCAGGAGUCGAGGAGGAGUUCCUCCUCUACAUGCAGCAGUGCCCCGGGGAGCAGCACCCAGGGGUGCCCCACCCAGCCGGGCGCCAUCCUCCAGAGGGAGGGGGGUGCAGAGAGCCAGAGGCGCCCCCCCAGCUGCCGGGUACCGACCGCCACCUCCCAUAGUGCAGGACUCAUAUGGUGAAUAUGAAUACGACGACGGCUAUGGAGCAGCUUACGAUGACCAGGGAUAUGAAUCAUACGACAACAACUACAGCAAUCAAGGACAGAACUCAGAUGACUACUAUGAAUAUGGGCACAGUGGGGAAUCAUAUGAUUCCUAUGGUCAGGAAGACUGGGCAAAUAAUCGCAGCAAGGCACCGUCGGCACGAACAACCAAGGGAGUGUACAGAGAUCAGCCAUACUCCAGAUAUUGAACUGUUUAUACAACCCGCACCUGAGUCCCCAUGGCUGUUUCAACUCAAGCUGAUGACCAAGAGUCCACCAGGCCGUCAUCCAUCUGAUUACCUCAUUAGGGCUAAAGACUUCCUUUUGGGUGAUUUUAGGAUGAACCACACAUGAGCCUCUUUCCAAAAAUUUCAAGGGUGCAGAGUGUCAAGCCGAACCCUGAAAAGGCCCGGCAGUGAACAUAAGAGGCAGAGGCAACUUCACAAUGGAUCUCACCAUGGCCAAAUGGUGGACAUUCAAUUUUCACAGUCUGAACCGGGGUGAAUUCUGCGGGGAAUGAGAUGGAGUGACCUGUUGAGAUUCGGAGAAGGGGAAAAGAGAUAAUGUGUGUAUCGCACUUCCUCAGUCUCCAGAGAGAAAGAGAGAGGAAACCCGUGAGGCAAAUGGAGUUCCUCGUCCUCUGGGAGUCUCUGUCUGUGAAUAUUUCCUUCAGAGGUUCAUUGACUCUGUAUACAUUUUACAUACAUACAGGGGUACGCUGCACUGACUGUGAACCUGCCCGGCGUCUUUGUUGAUUCCAGUUGUUAUGAGAGGGAAAAGUGCCUAGCCCUUACAUUAGACAUUAACUGUCGUCUACCAGGGAAGAUGACUAAAUUAAUAAUGCAAUAUGCCAAGGGCGUGACAUCGUAUUUCUAGCAAAGUCAGUAUUGUAUUUCCAUAUUGUUUUGCUCAUUAACCUAUAUCCAAUCCCCUCAAAUGAAUAAAUAAUUCACCAAGUGCCUUAUUGUUUGUCAAGACAGAUUUAGAUAUAGAGUCUUGCGGUUUUGAGAGUUAAAAUGUGGGACAGUGCACCGGGAAAGGAAUCUAUUUUUCCUUCUAUCGGGCUGUUUUUGGUUUUCUGUAUGAAUUACCGUGAAGCUGGAAUACACCACCUGGCCUGCGCAGGAAUACACCCAAUUCCAGAUGUACUGCUAAAUCAGAAUUGACUUCAGAGGAUAUUACAAUUCCAAAAUAGCUUUCCACUGGAUAGAGAGCUUCAUUCUCUCUUGUGCAUAAGCCCAGAUAGGCCAAUCUGUAUCCCACACAGUUGUAUGUCCUCAGCAGCAGACAAUGGUUUUCCAUUAGAGGAAGU
Molecule: RNA transcript, 2452 nt
Organism: Myripristis murdjan (pinecone soldierfish)
Lineage: Eukaryota; Metazoa; Chordata; Actinopteri; Holocentriformes; Holocentridae
Gene: khdrbs3
Gene name: KH domain containing, RNA binding, signal transduction associated 3
Exons: 11
Source: RefSeq, a predicted model, not a curated record